UUUAGUUUCGUUAUUACGUUCACAGUCAAAGUUAUUCCAACGAAUCGAAAUCAUACAUUAAUAAUAUGGCCGAAAAGAAAGGUGCUGGAAAUAUUAUAAUUAAUAAAGGUCAAGAUUUACAUGUUGGAAACAGAUAUUAUUGGAAUCAGGUUAA
RNAcentral lists this long non-coding RNA (154 nucleotides) under Centruroides sculpturatus (bark scorpion). RNAcentral describes it as "uncharacterized LOC111634396, transcript variant X4". Lineage: Eukaryota; Metazoa; Arthropoda; Arachnida; Scorpiones; Buthidae. The record is from RNAcentral.